Molecule: long non-coding RNA, 1545 nt
Filed under: Pelobates cultripes (western spadefoot toad)
Lineage: Eukaryota; Metazoa; Chordata; Amphibia; Anura; Pelobatidae
Source: RNAcentral
GUGCUUUCUUACCUCACUUUUAGAAAUAAUAAAUAUUCAAAUCAUCUAAAAUUAAAUCCAACAGCCACUGAAAAAUAUACUUAAACAAUUAAGAUUCACAUUGUUAAGCAUCCAAUCUCACGAACGUAACUUUCCACAAUGGCUGUCAGAUCUUGGUAAAAAAAAAAAAAAAUGUUUUUAAGACAAUUUUUGGGUGUUUAUGGUAUUUUAAGCCAAUAAUAACUAGGGAAUAAGUUGUCUUCUCCCUAACAGGUCAAAGAAAGAUAAUUAACGUCAUAUUUUCAAUUAUCAACUAUUCUAAAUAGAUUGAGAGAUUUUGAAUAAAGGAGUAUUUUUAACAUUUAAAGAGAAUGUAAUUUUACAUACCAUUGUGAACAAAGGUGGUAAAUACUUUGCUGCUUCAAAUUAUCCUUAUAUCUCUAAAUCAUAUACAAGGGUGUUUAUCUUUAAAACAAAACACUAGAAAGAUUAACUAUGUUACUAUUUCAUCUAUCAUUAUUAUACAAACUAUAACAAAUGUAAAGAUUUUUCCACAGAUUUUACCUGUUAACAUUUUUAGCACAACAGCACCUGAUGUCAGUGAGAUGUCUAUCACUGAGAUGUUACAAAGAUUCCAAUACAGCAAAAAGAGGUGUUCCUGAGAAUCCACUUCGAUUGCUGUAUCAACAUAACAUUUACUAUGGGAUCCAUGUCACUUAAGACAAUAUCUUGGAAAUUAUGUCAAUUAAUUUAUACCGUAAAAGAAUAUCGGAGAGUAUCCAAUCUAUACACAUCAUAAACUGUGUAAAAAUGUUUCAUGGAAAAAAUAAAAGGCAAAGACUAAUAACAACACCAUCACCACGGUGAUAACAGAUGAUGCUGAUUCAAUAUCCGCAACCAAUUCUAGCCAAAUAUUUGGAAAGCUGGACUCUACAAUCUAUACUCUACAACAAAUACCCGGGUAUUCUACAAACACAACCUCCAGCAAUUUAUCUAAGGAAUGUAUCUACAGGGGUUUAAAGACUUUGGAUUACGAAUACAAUUACUAUUUUUAACUUUGGAUUACAAUUCGUAUCCGGAUCCAUCCAAGAAUAUCUUACUCUGGAACUUGGUGUUCUUUUCAAUUCUUUCCCAGACAAAAGCUUUGCUCAUUUUAAUCAACCACCUUUACAGGCAAAGAUCACACUAUGGUUAUUUUACUGUUACAACAAUGAUCCAUGAUGCUGGGAGCAUAAAAAACCUAAAGACAGUUGGAGAACUUUGGUUUACUAAUUUAAGAAAUGCGCUACAAUGCCCACAGUUUAAUGGAGAGGGUGUUAUGGGCAAAUGCAAAUAUUACAAGUUUUAGAAUGAAAUGUUGUAUUUCUUAAACUGUGUACUUUGUCUUUAAGAUAUAUUGCAAACUGACAAGGUGUUAGAAAUGGAACAUAUUGUUUUUCAUAACUGUUUCUUUAAGCAAUAACCUCAGUGCAUAAUAUGUUUGCGCCAUUUUGUCCCAGACGAAUUACAAUAACAAUAAUGCAUAAACAAGCUUCAAGGCUAUUCUACGACACUUGCAGUACACAA